UACGGGGGGUGCGAGCGUUGUCCGGAAUUACUGGGCGUAAAGCGUGCGUAGACGGUUAUUUAAGUCGGGUGUGAAAGCCCCGGGCUCAACCUGGGAAUUGCAUUCGAGACUGAAUAGCUAGGGUACGGUAGAGGGAAGCGGAAUUUCCGGUGUAGCGGUGAAAUGCGUAGAUAUCGGAGGGAACAUCAGUGGCGAAAGCGGCUUCCUGGACCAGUACCGACGUUCAGGCACGAAAGCGUGGGGAGCAAACAGG
This 253-nucleotide ribosomal RNA is filed under the name uncultured bacterium. Its description in RNAcentral is "partial 16S ribosomal RNA". It matches the Rfam family "Bacterial small subunit ribosomal RNA", at positions 524 to 776 of the family's 1533-position model. The record is from RNAcentral.